GACGAACGCUGGCGGCGUGCUUAACACAUGCAAGUCGAACGGAAAGGCCCCUUUGGGGGUACUCGAGUGGCGAACGGGUGAGUAACACGUGAGUAACCUGCCCUUGACUUCGGGAUAACUUCAGGAAACUGGGGCUAAUACCGGAUAGGAAUCCUUGCUGCAUGGUGGGGGUUGGAAAGCUUCGGCGGUUUUGGAUGGACUCGCGGCUUAUCAGCUUGUUGGUGGGGUAGUGGCUUACCAAGGCUUUGACGGGUAGCCGGCCUGAGAGGGCGACCGGCCACAUUGGGACUGAGAUACGGCCCAGACUCCUACGGGAGGCAGCAGGGGGGAAUAUUGCACAAUGGGCGGAAGCCGGAUGCAGCAACGCCGCGUGCGGGAGGACGGCCUUCGGGUUGUAAACCGCUUUCAGCAGGGGCGAAGCUUGUGGUGACGGUACCUGCAGAAGAAGCACCGGCUAACUACGUG
Molecule: ribosomal RNA, 465 nt
Filed under: uncultured bacterium
Lineage: Bacteria
Description: partial 16S ribosomal RNA
Rfam family: Bacterial small subunit ribosomal RNA
Source: RNAcentral